RNAcentral lists this ribosomal RNA (250 nucleotides) under uncultured Chroococcidiopsis sp. RNAcentral describes it as "partial 16S ribosomal RNA". It matches the Rfam family "Bacterial small subunit ribosomal RNA", at positions 796 to 1044 of the family's 1533-position model. The record is from RNAcentral. Lineage: Bacteria; Bacillati; Cyanobacteriota; Cyanophyceae; Chroococcidiopsidales; Chroococcidiopsidaceae.
CUAGCUGUAAACGAUGGAUACUAGGCGUUGAGAGUAUCGACCCUCUCAGUGUCGUAGCUAACGCGUUAAGUAUCCCGCCUGGGGAGUACGCGCGCAAGCGUGAAACUCAAAGGAAUUGACGGGGGCCCGCACAAGCGGUGGAGUAUGUGGUUUAAUUCGAUGCAACGCGAAGAAUCUUACCAGGGCUUGACAUGUCCGGAACCCUGCCCAAAGGCGGGGGUGCCUACGGGAACCGGAACACAGGUGGUGC